This 109-nucleotide ribosomal RNA is filed under the name Caldanaerobacter subterraneus subsp. pacificus DSM 12653. The record is from RNAcentral. Lineage: Bacteria; Bacillati; Bacillota; Clostridia; Thermoanaerobacterales; Thermoanaerobacteraceae.
UAUUCCGGCAGCGACCUACUCUCCCGCUUAUGCAGUACCAUCGGCGCUGGAGGGCUUAACUUCCGUGUUCGGAAUGGGAACGGGUGUUUCCCCUCCGCUAUCGCCACCG